AGCCCUGUGGUGUAGUGGCCAAUGAAUGACAAUUUAUAUUAUGUAUUGUCUUCGGCUAGGCAUAUCGGGCCUUGGACCCGGUGACCGCGGUUCGAAUCCGCGCAGGGCUA
Molecule: transfer RNA, 110 nt
Filed under: Nanobdellota archaeon
Lineage: Archaea; Nanobdellati; Nanobdellota
Description: tRNA-Gln
Rfam family: tRNA
About the family: Transfer RNA (tRNA) molecules are approximately 80 nucleotides in length. Their secondary structure includes four short double-helical elements and three loops (D, anti-codon, and T loops).
Source: RNAcentral